GUCAAAUUGUUAGAAAAAUUAUUUGUCCAUAAUAAACAGAUAGAUAUAUGUACUUGGAACUGGUCCCUCUACUCCAUUCACACACAAAACUUCAAUAAACUUGAUUGGCUUUGGCCUUAUAUUCAUAAUGUAUUUUUCUCCACAUUCAAAUCUCAGACAGUUGAGGCUGAAUAUACUGAUAAGCCCAUCCCUUUAGCCAUAACUCCAGUUUUCA
Pelobates cultripes (western spadefoot toad) is the source of this 214-nucleotide non-coding RNA. The record is from the annotation of a GenBank genome assembly. NCBI's taxonomy places the organism in Eukaryota, Metazoa, Chordata, Amphibia, Anura, Pelobatidae.